UAACGCGUGAGGAACCUGCCUCAAAGAGGGGGACAACAGUUGGAAACGACUGCUAAUACCGCAUAAGCCCACAGCUCGGCAUCGAGCAGAGGGAAAAGGAGUGAUCCGCUUUGAGAUGGCCUCGCGUCCGAUUAGCUAGUUGGUGAGGUAAUGGCCCACCAAGGCGACGAUCGGUAGCCGGACUGAGAGGUUGAACGGCCACAUUGGGACUGAGACACGGCCCUG
This 225-nucleotide ribosomal RNA is filed under the name uncultured bacterium. RNAcentral describes it as "partial 16S ribosomal RNA". It matches the Rfam family "Bacterial small subunit ribosomal RNA", at positions 111 to 334 of the family's 1533-position model. The record is from RNAcentral.